GAUGAACGCUGGCGGCGUGCCUAAUACAUGCAAGUCGAGCGAACAGACGAGGAGCUUGCUCCUCUGACGUUAGCGGCGGACGGGUGAGUAACACGUGGAUAACCUACCUAUAAGACUGGGAUAACUUCGGGAAACCGGAGCUAAUACCGGAUAAUAUAUUGAACCGCAUGGUUCAAUAGUGAAAGACGGUUUUGCUGUCACUUAUAGAUGGAUCCGCGCCGCAUUAGCUAGUUGGUAAGGUAACGGCUUACCAAGGCAACGAUGCGUAGCCGACCUGAGAGGGUGAUCGGCCACACUGGAACUGAGCCACGGUCCAGACUCCUACGGGAGGCAGCAGUAGGGAAGCUUCCGCAAUGGGCGAAAGCCUGACGGAGCAACGCCGCGUGAGUGAUGAAGGUCUUCGGAUCGUAAAACUCUGUUAUUAGGGAAGAACAAAUGUGUAAGUAACUAUGCACGUCUUGACGGUACCUAAUCAGAAAGCCACGGCUAACUACGUG
RNAcentral lists this ribosomal RNA (497 nucleotides) under uncultured bacterium. RNAcentral's name for it is "partial 16S ribosomal RNA". It matches the Rfam family "Bacterial small subunit ribosomal RNA", at positions 28 to 507 of the family's 1533-position model. The record is from RNAcentral.